RNAcentral lists this ribosomal RNA (242 nucleotides) under Gonyostomum semen. Its description in RNAcentral is "partial 18S ribosomal RNA". It matches the Rfam family "Eukaryotic small subunit ribosomal RNA", at positions 1503 to 1742 of the family's 1831-position model. Lineage: Eukaryota; Raphidophyceae; Chattonellales; Vacuolariaceae. The record is from RNAcentral.
CUGAUGCAUGCAACGAGUACUGACCUUGGUCGGAAGGCCUGGGUAAUCUUUUGAACGUGCAUCGUGAUAGGGAUAGAUUAUUGCAAUUAUUAAUCUUGAACGAGGAAUUCCUAGUAAACGCGGGUCAUCAGCUCGCAUUGAUUACGUCCCUGCCCUUUGUACACACCGCCCGUCGCACCUACCGAUUGAAUGAUUCGGUGAAAAUUUCGGACUGUGGCUCGUUCGCUUCACUGUGGCUUGCA